GUCUACCGUCAUAUCAUCCUGAACAUACCCAAUCUCGUCUGAUCUUGGAAGCUAAGCAGGGUCAGGCCUGGUUAGUACUUGGAUGGCAGACCGACAGCUGGACUUUGGAGGAGAGAUGGCUU
Molecule: non-coding RNA, 122 nt
Organism: Macaca mulatta (Rhesus monkey)
Lineage: Eukaryota; Metazoa; Chordata; Mammalia; Primates; Cercopithecidae
Source: Rfam